UACGAAGGGGGCUAGCGUUGCUCGGAAUUACUGGGCGUAAAGGGCGCGUAGGCGGAUAUUUAAGUUGGGGGUGAAAUCCCGGGGCUCAACCUCGGAAUUGCCUUCAAAACUGGAUAUCUUGAGUUCGGGAGAGGUGAGUGGAACUCCGAGUGUAGAGGUGAAAUUCGUAGAUAUUCGGAAGAACACCAGUGGCGAAGGCGACUCACUGGCCCGAUACUGACGCUGAGGCGCGAAAGCGUGGGGAGCAAACAGG
RNAcentral lists this ribosomal RNA (253 nucleotides) under uncultured bacterium. RNAcentral describes it as "partial 16S ribosomal RNA". It matches the Rfam family "Bacterial small subunit ribosomal RNA", at positions 524 to 776 of the family's 1533-position model. The record is from RNAcentral. RNAcentral also lists the same sequence under 2 other names.